GGGGGACCUUGCAUAUUUGUUUCCGUGGUUUUGUCCUCUUGUGUUUUGAUUUGAGUGACUUCCUGUAGCCCUGGUGACAGUCAUUCAUGGCUUCCUGUCUUCAUCGGUCCCAUCACACUCCUCUCUGUAAUGUUUUCAUCAAUUCCUCGUGUCUCUUUCUUAAGAAAGCGCAGCUCAUUUCUCAUCUCUGUCUGUUUAUGAUUCUUAGGGAGAACUUCCUUCCGCCCUUGGGCGCGCUGAGGUCCUUGAUUGGCUUGGAGCACUGGCAUUGGGCCAGCUCCUCCCAGCGUCCCCUCUGGAUCCGGUGGAAUUUCUCUGCCACCGGCAGGUUGUUCUUCUGCAUCCGACAGGUGGGAGUGAUGGCUGAGGGCUGUGGCUUGCCAUUUCCCCUGCCCCCAGCCUUGGAGGCAGCACCAUCUCCCGUCUCCGGGGCACCCACUGGCCUGCUCCGGAGAGCUCUCUGGAGCCUGUUAGGAAAAGCAGUGCACCCUCAGAUGCCAGCGCCUCCCCAAAUCCCUUGGUCCGAAAGGCUUCGUGGGCCCCCCAGCUGGUCCUCCCUCCUCCCGGGGCGAUGCUCUGGUCUCCUCAGUGUGAAGGGUCCUUGCAGCAAGAAAGAGAAUCAUCGUGGAGUCUGCCCUGGGCUGCAGCGCCACAGACCCUGGCUCCCUGGGUAAGGCUCCGGGCUCCCCCCGCCCAGGUCACCCCUCCCCAGUGUGGCUGGGACCCGUCCACUCCUCCCAGACAUGACUCUCCUGGACAGCCCAAGGCCACCACUGCCUCCCCUGCCCCUGUAGUCCACUGUCGGCCCAGCAGCCAGCACGGCAGCCCCUCCCCCCACCCAGGUGGCGGUCAGGGCCCCGGGAGGACCCUGAAAAUGGGGUCAGCAAGCACCAGCCAACCAAGGAGGACCUGGAGUUCAUGGUUGUGCAGGAAACUUGAGAAGGCCCUGAG
Molecule: long non-coding RNA, 951 nt
Filed under: Marmota monax (woodchuck)
Lineage: Eukaryota; Metazoa; Chordata; Mammalia; Rodentia; Sciuridae
Source: RNAcentral